RNAcentral lists this ribosomal RNA (462 nucleotides) under Xenopirostris damii. Its description in RNAcentral is "partial 16S ribosomal RNA". It matches the Rfam family "Bacterial large subunit ribosomal RNA", at positions 1970 to 2594 of the family's 2925-position model. Lineage: Eukaryota; Metazoa; Chordata; Aves; Passeriformes; Vangidae. The record is from RNAcentral.
UGCCUCGUAAAUUGAGGCCUGUAUGAAUGGCUAAACGAGGUCUUAACUGUCUCUUACAGGCAAUCGGUGAAAUUGAUCUCCCUGUGCAAAAGCAGGGAUAAACCCAUAAGACGAGAAGACCCUGUGGAACUUCAAAAUCAGCAACCACCCUUCAACACAUCCACGCCCACUGGGCUCACGAACCUACAAGGCGAUGGUCUGCAUUUUUCGGUUGGGGCGACCUUGGAGAAAAACAGAUCCUCCAAAAAUUAGACCAUACCUCUAGACUGAGAGCGACCCCUCAACGUGCUAAUAGCACCCAGACCCAAUACAAUUGAUCAAUGGACCAAGCUACCCCAGGGAUAACAGCGCAAUCUCCUCCGAGAGUCCGUAUCGACGGGGAGGUUUACGACCUCGAUGUUGGAUCAGGACAUCCUAGUGGUGCAGCCGCUACUAAGGGUUCGUUUGUUCAACGAUUAAAGU